CCCCCAUCCCACCGCCUUUAUCUCCUGCACCAUCUGUUUCUAGAAAUGUGCUUUGCUCCUUCCCAUGGAGAACCAACUCUCUCUGCCCUUGGUUCCCUCCAGCUCCCCUAUCUCCUCCUUCCUAGCCAAAGUUCUCAGUUUCCACUCCUUAUCUCUCAUUAUCUCCUCAAACCACACCAAUUAACUUCUGUCUCCACCCCUUGCUUAAUGGAAACAGCUCUAUUCAGCAUCACAAUACCUUUGCUAAACCCAGAAGUUAGGUCCUCUCCUUCAGCCCCUCCCAUCCUUCAGCUCAGUGGCCGCCCGCCUCCUACCACAGGCUCCCAUCGCCUAGCCUGCUCCGCUUUUCCUUCCACCUCCCUGGUUGUGCCUCAGUUUACUUGGCCAAUCCCACUUUCUCUGCUCAGCUGCUAAGUCAAGUGGCCACAUGACUGACUGGCAGCCAAUUGAUGGGAGUGGAUGUAGCUGGUGCCAGUUCCCUGCCAUCCAAUAAACCAGCCUUGAGCAGUCCUCCCACUGCACCUCUGCCUACGUGAGAUGCAAGCAAGCAAGGUCCGCUUGGAAGAUCUGUGUUGAAAAUCGUUCCCACUUGGCUGAAUUUCCUGGUGGCUCAGAUGGAAAAGAAUCUGCCUGCAAUGCAAGAUUUCUGGGUUUGGUACCUGGAUUGGGAAGAUCCCCUGGAGGAGGAAAUGACUCCUACAGCACCUCCACAUGGCCCUCAGGGUGAAGUCCAAAAGUUCUCUUGGGUUCAUCAGGCUGCUGCUGGCUUCUGCCCUACCUUUUACCAGCUCUCCAGCUCCCAGCCCCCAGCGUUCAGAGUUCCAGCC
Molecule: long non-coding RNA, 827 nt
Organism: Bos taurus (domestic cattle)
Lineage: Eukaryota; Metazoa; Chordata; Mammalia; Artiodactyla; Bovidae
Source: Ensembl